AUACGGAGGAUGCGAGCGUUGUCCGGAUUUAUUGGGUUUAAAGGGAGCGUAGGUGGGAUAUUAAGUCAGCUGUGAAAGUUUGGGGCUCAACCUUAAAAUUGCAGUUGAUACUGGUUUCCUUGAGUACGGUACAGGUGGGCGGAAUUCGUGGUGUAGCGGUGAAAUGCUUAGAUAUCACGAAGAACUCCGAUCGCGAAGGCAGCUCACCGGGCCGGAACUGACACUGAUGCUCGAAAGUGCGGGUAUCAAACAGGAUUAGAUACCCUGGUAGUCCGCACAGUAAACGAUGAAUACUCGCUGUUUGCGAUACACGGUAAGCGGCCAAGCGAAAGCGUUAAGUAUUCCACCUGGGGAGUACGCCGGCAACGGUGAAACUCAAAGGAAUUGGCGGGG
This 393-nucleotide ribosomal RNA is filed under the name uncultured bacterium. Its description in RNAcentral is "partial 16S ribosomal RNA". It matches the Rfam family "Bacterial small subunit ribosomal RNA", at positions 523 to 918 of the family's 1533-position model. The record is from RNAcentral.